ACCGGGACUAGGAGCAAUGCUUGAUCGCCCUUGAGGUGCGCUAUAGUACCGAAGAAGAAGGGACUAGAAUCCUUAAUCCUAUUCCUACUUGUGGUUUGGGAGAUCUGGAAGGAACUGAACUAAAGAGACUUCCGGCACAAGAGCUACCCGCGCUUUCACACUAUACAUGCAAAGAUCAAGAGCUGGGUUCAGAUUUGGGUUAGGUGGGGGCAAAGCACUUCACAGUGCUUCAAGCAAAAAGUAAUUACUUCCCUGUAAUUGGUAAUUGGUUAAUAUAAACGCCUUGCAAAUUUCUUCCCCUUUAUUUUUAUAUUUAUUAAUAUAAUCAGUAGGAGUUACCCCUCCUGUUCUUUCCAAAAAAGUACAAUCUAUAUUUUUUUUCUUGUUUAGCCCUUAAGGGUUUGUACACUCCUCGUCUCAUGAAAUUAGCAGUGUCACAUUCCGGGUUUCAUUAAAAAAAGCUUCAAAUAUGCAGCAAGAUUAGCUCGUGUCUAGAUGAAAAUGACAUUACAUGUACUUGGGAUCCUCACAUCAUGUGUCCAACAACGUACAGUAACACUGUUUUACUUUCCUCACGCAGUGCAUCCUGAUAUUGCUCGAUUCUGAGAACAAGAAGUUUUACUCCACACACACACACACACACACACCUAAUUAUCUCAACCGUGACCCACACAUAUCUGACACUCUGUUUAAUUUGUAAAAAAAAAAUUAUAUAUUUUGCAUGAAUUAUAUAUGCUCCAGGUCAAGUGUGCACACCUACUGUACUUUGGUUUAUUGUUGUUGGAAAGUUGUUUGACAUUGUUACUCUCUAUGAAUGCAAAUACGCCGUCGAGUAAUCCAGAUAUCCCCUCUAUGUCUAUAUAUAACUUUGCCUCUUCUCACCUCCUCAUCUUUUUUGUUUUCCCAC
RNAcentral lists this long non-coding RNA (907 nucleotides) under Setaria viridis. Its description in RNAcentral is "long non-coding RNA (SVIR_LNC005052)". The record is from RNAcentral. Lineage: Eukaryota; Viridiplantae; Streptophyta; Magnoliopsida; Poales; Poaceae.